UCUGAGGUAGGUAUGGGUGAGUAGCGUUUGCAAGGUCGGAGUGGGGGACGCAUGCAAUCCAUUGCAAUCCGCGGCCAUCCGUGCCGGUACCUGUCCCCUGCCCAGCUCCGGCAGUCCCUCGCAGCCCCUCCUGCUGCACUCGGCCUGUAUUGACAGGGUGUUUCCUCCGGGAGGGCAGCUUAGCCGCGAUCCUUGAACGGGAGCGCCCCGCUGCCUGGGGGAGUCCUUUGCUUGUGGCAGCCACGGCUCCAAACUGCCCUACCGGCCCCGGCAGAUUGUCACUGCCCCUGCAAGAGGGCCGGGGAGUGCGUAGCCGCUGACUGGGUUGGCCGGUCCCUGGUCCCCCAAACACGGGGUUCGCCCGCAGCCCAGCCGGGGUCUCACUGGUGCACGUGAUGACUAAACCUUUUUUCCCCAUCAGAGCGACAGUGUUGAUUUUGCUGUUCUAAGCCAGAUCGUGUCUGACGCACCAGUCCUGGAAGCCACCUUCGCGCUUUGCUCCCGCCGCGUUCAGCGGGACUAAAUCUUUUGUCUCUUCUGCGUCUCAGGUCCAGCAAGCGGCCGCGAUCAGCAUGGUUUGGGGAGCUGGCUUGGAGGCCGGGCGCUGGCCCGGGGUAGAGCCAGCCACAAGGGCCCGCUGCUCGGGUUGUGGAGCCCGCUGUUUGCCCUUUGCAUCCUGUGACACUCUUGGUGGAGGGACUAGUCCAUGGCAGCAAGGUGGAGCAACGUGAGUCUGGGAGACCUGGUCAAGGAAUCAAGGUGACAUAACCCAAAGCAAACUUGGAAUAGGCCAUUGCCCUGCUUUACAAGCCACUUGUGAGCCAGAUUACCAAGAGAGUGGGAAUUUUACGUCGGUAGACAUGAAGAUCUUGUAAAAAGGUUGAGUUAUCAGUGUCAGCAUGAAGCAGAAGUUGCCCUGUGAAGUAGCAAAAAGCUGUUAAUUGCAUACACUUGCCAAAGUGACAGCAAGAUAUUCCAAGACAAGGGUGCAGUAGCCACAUUGCAAUGGCACUACUUGGUCAAGCGUGGUGUGAAAAAUACCUGCCUCCUUAAGAGAUACCUGGGAGUUCUUGUAGUUUAGUCUCCAAGCUCACAAGCAGUUUCAUUGGAAGGGAUGACUAUCUCUAGUUCUUGACUACUUUUUGUUUGUGUCCAUAGUGGCAGUAUUCACCCCAUGUUGCUGAGUUCCACCCAGUGCUGUAAUGUGGAAGGUUCUAAGAUGGAAAUUCAUUAAAUGCUGAAGUUAAAUGGA
This is a long non-coding RNA of Pelodiscus sinensis (Chinese soft-shelled turtle), 1252 nucleotides long. RefSeq lists it as uncharacterized. The record is from RefSeq and is a predicted model, not a curated record. NCBI's taxonomy places the organism in Eukaryota, Metazoa, Chordata, Testudines, Trionychidae.